Molecule: non-coding RNA, 101 nt
Organism: Xylaria sp. FL1042
Lineage: Eukaryota; Fungi; Ascomycota; Sordariomycetes; Xylariales; Xylariaceae
Source: the annotation of a GenBank genome assembly
GGCCUCGUGGCCCAAUGGCAAGGCGUCUGACUACGAUCGGAUCGGGAUCAUCCCAAUCCGGCGCAAUCAGGAGAUUCUCGGUUCGACCCCGGGCGAGGUCA